Molecule: ribosomal RNA, 498 nt
Filed under: uncultured bacterium
Lineage: Bacteria
Description: partial 16S ribosomal RNA
Rfam family: Bacterial small subunit ribosomal RNA
Source: RNAcentral
AUUGAACGCUGGCGGCAUGCUUUACACAUGCAAGUCGAACGGUAACAGGCCGCAAGGUGCUGACGAGUGGCGAACGGGUGAGUAAUGCAUCGGAACGUGCCCAGUCGUGGGGGAUAACGCAGCGAAAGCUGCGCUAAUACCGCAUACGAUCUAUGGAUGAAAGCGGGGGACCGUAAGGCCUCGCGCGAUUGGCGCGGCCGAUGUCAGAUUAGGUAGUUGGUGGGGUAAAGGCUCACCAAGCCAACGAUCUGUAGCUGGUAUGAGAGGACGACCAGCGGACCUGGAGCGUGGACACGGCCCAGACUCCUACGGGAGGCAGCAGGGGGGAAUGUUGGACAAUGGGCGCAAGCCUGAUCCAGCAAUGCCGCGUGCAGGAAGACGGCCUUCGGGUUGUAAACUGCUUUUGUACGGAACGAAACGGUCCUGGUUAAUACCUGGGGCUAAUGACGGUACCGUAAGAAUAAGCACCGGCUAACUACGUGCCAGCCGCCGCCGUAA